This is a long non-coding RNA of Haliotis rubra (blacklip abalone), 356 nucleotides long. RefSeq lists it as uncharacterized. NCBI's taxonomy places the organism in Eukaryota, Metazoa, Mollusca, Gastropoda, Lepetellida, Haliotidae. The record is from RefSeq and is a predicted model, not a curated record. The transcript has 3 exons.
CCAAGAUCCAACAAGGGUUUCAAACAGAUUCCAAUGUGCCAAUUUGUGUAGGCAGUUAAAAAGCUGUAGACUGGCGGUGUACAGUUACCAAGAACGUACAUGUUUGGUCAAACAUUCAACGGAACGUGUGACUCCAGAUGCCCAGGACUUGUACUCGGUGGCUGCUGCAGCACGAAGCAUCUGCCGGGAAUGUGCCGAUGAUGAAACAUGUAUCCCGGUAACUGAGGCCCGGACAUCCCUUUGUAUUUCCACAGAUUCCUUACAAGAAACCGUGUCAUCCACAACAAUGACUGUUUCAAUGGCAAAUUCAACGACAACAUCCCCUGCCUCAUCAGUAGCUACACUGGAUAUUACGA